Molecule: long non-coding RNA, 361 nt
Filed under: Theobroma cacao (cacao)
Lineage: Eukaryota; Viridiplantae; Streptophyta; Magnoliopsida; Malvales; Malvaceae
Description: long non-coding RNA (TCAC_LNC005709)
Source: RNAcentral
UUGUCAAAAUUUUAUUGAUUGGUGGGUUAUUUAAUUAGCCACUGCAGUAGGCGGGUUUUCGUGGAUCAGCCUAUUAGAGGGGCGCGGUAAACCCUGUUAUAUUUACCUUAGUAGGAGAGGUGCGAAGGAUAUCUCCUAAGGUACGAUAGAGUUCAUUUCACGCCGAACCACCACUUGAGGAUGAACUCUGUCAACGCUAAGGGAUGGUUAAACUAUGUUUUUAUAAGUAGUUGUUAACUUAAUAACUUUGGCGGACUCGAUUGAAUGCCUCGGCCAAUGUAUCACCGAGUAUGAUUUUUGACAUGAGCCAAGUUUUGAAGAAAAUCAUAAGUCGUGAUGUGCAUAUUAUAAUGAAAUGUGU